UGCUGCAUGGCUGUCGUCAGCUCGUGUUGUGAAAUGUUGGGUUAAGUCCCGCAACGAGCGCAACCCUUAUCCUUUGUUGCCAGCGGUCCGGCCGGGAACUCAAAGGAGACUGCCAGUGAUAAACUGGAGGAAGGUGGGGAUGACGUCAAGUCAUCAUGGCCCUUACGACCAGGGCUACACACGUGCUACAAUGGCGCAUACAAAGAGAAGCGACCUCGCGAGAGCAAGCGGACCUCAUAAAGUGCGUCGUAGUCCGGAUUGGAGUCUGCAACUCGACUCCAUGAAGUCGGAAUCGCUAGUAAUCGUGGAUCAAAAUGCCACGGUGAAUACGUUCCCGGGCCUUGUACACACCGCCCGUCACACCAUGGGAGUGGGUUGCAAAAGAAGUAGGUAGCUUAACCUUCGGGAGGGCGCUUACCACUUUGUGAUUCAUGACUGGGGUGAAGUCGUAACAAGGUAACCGUAGGGGAACCUGCGGUUGGAUCACCUC
RNAcentral lists this ribosomal RNA (490 nucleotides) under uncultured bacterium. RNAcentral's name for it is "bacterial SSU rRNA". It matches the Rfam family "Bacterial small subunit ribosomal RNA", at positions 1039 to 1529 of the family's 1533-position model. The record is from RNAcentral.